GGGACACGAGCAACCCACUAAAUGUGUGUUUACACUGCUGAGCCCACACUUAUAAUUUUGUGAAUUCAAGCGGCAGCCCUAUGUGAGACCAUUUCAUGAAACUAAGAAAUUUUCAGGGACGAAAAGGAAAAUUCAGAGGGAACGAGAAUAAUAAAUGCAAAUUAUGAAUCCGUUUACCAAACACCGGCAAGAGGAAGUUCACAGUCUCCAAGGCACCAAAUUACGCCAUUGAUCCGAACCCAAAAUGGCUCCAUGUCUGGCAUUUUCAGAGGCCGUUUCCAAGUCAAUGUCAUCCUAUCUGCCUUAAACUAAAAGAGACAAAUACGACUGGAAUAAGGUAAAGAUGGAGUGGUUGUCUUGCUGUUGUGCUGGUAUCAGACAUGGGCUCUUCAUCAGAUGACUAAUGGAGUUGUGCAGCUAACCAGGAGGCCCAAGGCUGUUUGUUAGCUCCUAACAAGGUGAACCAGCUCCUACGGAACAGCACACUAGCGCUGAAGGAUUUAUUAUAGAUCUGCGUGUCCGCGGGCCAUGAACAGUAUAGCGCCGGUCUCAUUGUAGUGGGUCCACCACACUAGCAGAGGGUUUAGAUCAUUAUUGCCUCAUUGUUUUGAUACAAUUUUGCAGAGCGGAUGAUGGAUGGAUGGAUAAUCGGAUGAGUAAAGGAGUUUUGGUAGCCUAGCACAUGAGGGUAAUGGAUGGACUGCAAAAACACACGAAAAUGAUAAGGAAAAGUGAGUUUUGAACAUGUUUUAUGAUGGAAUUUGGAAAAACAUUUUCAGUCUUUACACAUUUAGAUAGUUGACAUUGUUGAGUAGUGAUGUAGUAUGUUAUAAUUCACCUAAAG
Cyprinus carpio carpio is the source of this 844-nucleotide long non-coding RNA. Lineage: Eukaryota; Metazoa; Chordata; Actinopteri; Cypriniformes; Cyprinidae. The record is from Ensembl.